GAGGGGGAAAAAUUAAUAAUUUAUAAAUAAUAAAAAAAUUUUUAAUACUAAAAUGGGGGUUAUAGUAUUAUAAAUAAAAAAAAUUAUAAAUUUUAUAGUAAAUUAGUAUUGUAAAAGAAUUUUGAAAUAAAUGAAAAUUAAAUUAUUUAAAAGUAAAUUUAAUUUAUUGUAUCUUGUGUAUCAGAGUUUAUUAAAUAAAUUUAUUAAUAUUAAUAAAUCUCGAAUUUAAAGGAGAUAAUUAAUUAAAAAAUUUAAUGUUGAAUAAUUAUUUUAAAUAAUUAAUUUGAAAUGAAAAGUUAAUCGUUUUUAAAUAUAUCUAGUUUUUUUAGAAAUAAAUUUAAUUUAAAAUUUAAUUUAAUUAAUAAUUUUUUAAAAAUUAUUAAUAAAUUAAAUUAAAUAUUUUAAGGGAUAAGCUUUAAAUUAAAAAUUUAUAUUAAUAAUAAAAAUUAUUAAAAUUUUUAAAAUUUAAAUUGUUUAAAAAUUAUAAUUUUUUAUAAAAAAUUUUAAUAAAAAUAAAAUUUAAAUAAAAAUUAAUUUUUUAUAAAAAAAAAAUUUUUAAUAAUACAAAAUUAGAAAUAAUGAUAAAAUUAGUAUAAAUAUGAAUAAAAAAAAAAAUAAAAUUACAAUUAAUUAAAAGGAAUUCGGCAAAUAUAUAUAUUCACUUGUUUAUCAAAAACAUGUCUUUUUGUUAAUAAUUUAAAGUCUAAUCUGCCCACUGAUAUAAAAAUUGAAGGGCUGCAGUAUAUUGACUGUACAAAGGUAGCAUAAUCAUUAGUCUUUUAAUUGAAGACUUGUAUGAACGAUUUGAUGAAAUAUAAACUGUCUCUUAAUUAAAAAUUGAAUUUAAUUUUUUAGUUAAAAAGCUAAAAUAAUUUUAAAAGACGAGAAGACCCUAUAGAGUUUUAUAAAUAAUUUAUUUAAUAUUUUAUAUAAAAAUUAUAUUAAAAAAUAGAUUAUUUAUUAUAUUGGGGUGAUAAAAAAAUUUAAAAAACUUUUUGUAUAUAAAAUCAUAAAUAAGUGAAAAUAUGAUCCAUAAUUAAUGAUUAAAAGAAAAAAUUACCUUAGGGAUAACAGCGUAAUUUUUUUUUUUAGUUCAAAUAAGAAAAAGAGAUUGCGACCUCGAUGUUGGAUUAAGAUAAAAUUUAAAUGCAAAAGUUUAAAAUUUUGAUCUGUUCGAUCAUUAAAAUCUUACAUGAUCUGAGUUCAAACCGGUGUAAGCCAGGUUGGUUUCUAUCUUUAAAUAAUUAAAAUAUUUUAGUACGAAAGGAUCAAAUAUUUAAAAUAAUUUUAAUAUAAGAAUUUUAUUAAUAUGAUUAUAAACUAUUUUGGCAGAAAAAUGUGAUGAUUUUAGAAGUCAAA
This 1359-nucleotide ribosomal RNA is filed under the name Ideopsis vulgaris. RNAcentral describes it as "16S ribosomal RNA". The record is from RNAcentral. Lineage: Eukaryota; Metazoa; Arthropoda; Insecta; Lepidoptera; Nymphalidae.